This 253-nucleotide ribosomal RNA is filed under the name uncultured bacterium. Its description in RNAcentral is "partial 16S ribosomal RNA". It matches the Rfam family "Bacterial small subunit ribosomal RNA", at positions 524 to 776 of the family's 1533-position model. The record is from RNAcentral.
UACAGGGGGUGCAAACGUUGCUCGGAAUCAUUGGGCGUAAAGCGCACGUAGGCGGUUCGUUAUGUCGGAUGUGAAAGCCCUUGGCUUAACCGAGGAAGUGCAUCCGAAACUGGCGAGCUAGAGUACUAAAGAGGAUCGCGGAAUUCCCGGUGUAGAGGUGAAAUUCGUAGAUAUCGUAAGGAAGACCAGUGGCGAAGGCGGGUCUCUGGACAGUUCCUGACGCUGAGGCACGAAGGCCAGGGGAGCAAACGGG